UUUUUCGUUCUAUUAAUUUCACUUUCCAUGGCCACUGCUGAGGUAAUCCAGCUUUGUAACUUGACCUUUGAUUAAUUUGUAUAGAAUCCAUCUUUAUGUGAUUUGGUCUUCUUUGAGGUGCAGUGUUCAUCAAAAAACUUUUCCAGUGUCUGUUUGUUUCCUUUUCCGUUUCCUAGCAGGGAAAUUUUUUUGGCAACCAUAUCAUCUUGUUCAGUGAUUGAUCUCAAACAACUGCUAUCGAAACUUGUUAGAUAUAUGAACGAAGUUCAUGAUCCAAAGUUUGUUAUAUUUGGAAAUCAAAGAGCGUUGUAAAAAGGGUUUUAAGAGUAACAUGUGUAGCAGAAAGAUUGAUCUUCAGAAGAAAAAACAGAUAGUUUUCUUAAUUGAAAUGAAAAAAUGAAUAGAUGUGUGGGGGAUUCAAUCCAUAUGCAACUUCAUGGCAGUGUCUUGAUCAUGAUUAAUAUAAAUUAUUUUGAUUCUUCAUCUUUGUGUCUAUAUAUUAUUCAUAGUUUCAAUUAGUAUUUCAGUAAUCAUCUGGUAGUUUGAUGGUUUAAUCCCACAGGUUGUAUCUGCGACACCAGCACUUUCAGAGGAGAAAACUGAAGAAUCAGUUAAGGCAGAAGAGACUCCUGUGGAAGAGGUGGCGGCCGCACCACCUACACCAGAGCCUGUUGCUGAGGAGCCAAAGGAAGCAGAAACUGCAGCUGUGCCCGAGGAAUCUGCGGCUCCAGAAGCUGAAGCCCCUGCUGAUCAGGAUGAGACCAAGGAGGUGGUAGAACAAGUUGAGGUUGAGACCAAGGAGGUGGUGGAAAAAACUGAUCAGGCUGUGGUGGAAGAACCAGCGGUAGAGAAGACAGAAGAGGUCCCAGAGGAGACUCCUGAUCAGGAAACAAACAGCCCAGUUGUGGAGGAAACCAAAGAAGCUACAGAACCAGCUGAGGAACCAGCACCAAAACCAGAACCAGCACCUGCAGAUGAAGCUCCAAAAGAAGAAGGUCCUGCUGCAGAAGAAGAAGAGAAACCAGCUGAAGCUAAAGUGAAAGUUGAGACAGAUGAGAAGGCUGAGUGAUGAGUCUAUGAGUGUAUGGCCGAGUGAAAUUAAAAGUUUGUGUGAUGAGGGGUCUGCUAGGUUGCAUGUCUAGUUAAAGGAGUAUUAAUUUUCUUAGUAUAAUGAGGAAGGUUGAGGUGGAUGGAGCUUGAAAUCAAGGUAUGGGGAU
RNAcentral lists this long non-coding RNA (1217 nucleotides) under Vitis vinifera (wine grape). RNAcentral's name for it is "long non-coding RNA (VVIN_LNC003709)". The record is from RNAcentral. Lineage: Eukaryota; Viridiplantae; Streptophyta; Magnoliopsida; Vitales; Vitaceae.